This is a long non-coding RNA of Callithrix jacchus (white-tufted-ear marmoset), 1623 nucleotides long. NCBI's taxonomy places the organism in Eukaryota, Metazoa, Chordata, Mammalia, Primates, Cebidae. The record is from Ensembl.
CUUUGCAGCCCGCCGCCGGCCCGCGCCUUCUCCGACCUCCUCGCCAUCCCCGCCCGGCCGUGCGUGCCCCGGGACGGCAGGGGGCGCGGGUGAGGCCGCGGGCAGAUCUAACUGAGCCCAUUGUAGGCCUGCUCUUGUAUGAAUAUUUCACCCUGCUACGUACCAGAUGGAGUAAGUGAUUGCAACCCUCUACCCCCAAUUGAAGGGAUGUGCAGGGGACCCUACCUGACUGGUGAGACCUCUGCGUCAGAUUUUCACUGGAGCCAUAGAGAGGUGUGCGCUCUCUGCUGUGAGAGCGAGGCUGGGAGAAUGUGUAAGGCUGGCACUCUUCCAGGCCAUUUGACUCCCACCAGAAUGAACCCAGCUGCUUAAGAAUGAAGCCAGCUCAGAAGGAAAGAGUGCAUGAGAGGAAGCACUGCACAUUCCUGACUUAGAUCCUUUGAGCAACUGGAUCCAGCCUAACCUGAAGCAAGACACCUCCCUGGACUUUGAGUAUGUAAGCCAAUAAACUUCUCCUCAUUAUAAGCCAGUUUGAGCCUGAUUUAUGGAAGUUAAGCAUCUUGGCCAAGAUAACAUAUCUAAUGAAUGUGGAGUAAUAUUCAGAUCCAUACAACCCUAAUUCCAUAUGGUUCUUAACCACCAUGCUCUAGCAUGGCACUUAGCAUCUACGGCAGGACAGAGCUCAGAGCCACAUCCCUUUCACUGCCUGGCCCUCACUGGGAGUCUCUUCCCUUCCAGAAGCAGCUGCCAAUUUGUUUAAGAGGGUAAUCGAUCGGAGUACAUCUCAGGUUUUUUUGUGGGUUUUGUGUUGUUUUGUUUGACUCUUAUAGAGGCAAAUAUCUCAGCUUUAUUUGGAUUGUUUGUUGCAUCCAAUCAUUAAAACCAUGUUCAUGUCUUGAUCACUUGGUGAAAGGCUAAAGUGGAAGUGAGAAAGUGUAAAAAGAAUACGGAAUUAAGGCCAGACACAGUGGCUCAUGCCUAUAAUCUCGGCUCUUUGGAAUGCCAAGGCAGGCAAAUCACUUGAGGUCAGGAGUUCAAGACCAGCUUGGUCAGCAUGGUAAAACCCCAUCUCUACUAAAAAUAUCAAAAAUAAUUGGCCAAGCAUUGCGGCUGCCACCUGUAAUCCCAGCUACUCAGGAGGUUGAGGCAGGAGAAUCACUUGAACCUGGGAGGCAGAGGUUGCAGUGAGCUGAGAUCAUGCCACUGCACUCUAGCUUGGGCAAGAUUCCAUCUCAAAAACAAAAAGAAGUAAGAUUCCAUCUCAAAAACAAAAAGAAAGAGAGAGAGUAAGAUUCCAUCUCAAAAACAAAAAGAGAGAGAGAGAGAAAGAAGAAAAAGAAAGAAAGGAAGGAAGGAAGGAAGGAAGGAAGGAAGGAAGGAAGGAAGGAAGGAAAGAAAAAAAUAGGGAAUUGAGAGCUUCAACCCUUGCCUAUUUUCUGACGACCCAAAUCAGGAGAUAUUUAUAGACAACCUCCGUAUUAGUCAGGACUCAGCUGCAGUGACAAAAACCUAACUUCCCUGUCUAAAACAAAACAAAACAAAACAAUAUUUAAAGAACUUUAGUGGUUCUCCUGACUGAAGAGCCAGGCAUAGGGGUGUUUUCAGGCAAGGCUGGCCUAUACA